AGAAGAUUAAUUGAAUUAAUUUGAGACUUCAACAUAAACUUCGCUUAGCAAGCAUGAAGAUUGAUACUGUUGCCAUGGAAAACAUCGAUUUACAGAGCAUGGAAUAUAUACUAGAUGGACACAAAUGUAAAGCCUACAGAAAGUGUCUCUUCUCUGGCCACAGAGUCAAGCCUCCCUUAGGCAAGGAGGUGGACCGCUGGCAAAGGCUGACCUAACACCUGAGCUCUUUCUCUCCACCUACG
RNAcentral lists this long non-coding RNA (242 nucleotides) under Mustela putorius furo (domestic ferret). Its description in RNAcentral is "lncRNA (ENSMPUG00000030367.1)". Lineage: Eukaryota; Metazoa; Chordata; Mammalia; Carnivora; Mustelidae. The record is from RNAcentral.